AGAGUUUGAUCAUGGCUCAGAUUGAACGCUGGCGGCAGGCCUAACACAUGCAAGUCGAACGGUAGCACAGAGGAGCUUGCUCCUUGGGUGACGAGUGGCGGACGGGUGAGUAAUGUCUGGGAAACUGCCUGAUGGAGGGGGAUAACUACUGGAAACGGUAGCUAAUACCGCAUAAUCUCUAAGGAGCAAAGCAGGGGAACUUCGGUCCUUGCGCUAUCGGAUGAACCCAUAUGGGAUUAGCUAGUUGGUGAGGUAAUGGCUCACCAAGGCGACGAUCCCUAGCUGGUCUGAGAGGAUGAUCAGCCACACUGGGACUGAGACACGGCCCAGACUCCUACGGGAGGCAGCAGUGGGGAAUAUUGCACAAUGGGCGCAAGCCUGAUGCAGCCAUGCCGCGUGUAUGAAGAAGGCCUUCGGGUUGUAAAGUACUUUCAGCGGGGAGGAAGGCGAUAAGGUUAAUAACCUUGUCGAUUGACGUUACCCGCAGAAGAAGCACCGGCUAACUCCGUGCCAGCCGCCGCGGUAAUUC
This 529-nucleotide ribosomal RNA is filed under the name uncultured bacterium. RNAcentral's name for it is "bacterial SSU rRNA". It matches the Rfam family "Bacterial small subunit ribosomal RNA", at positions 8 to 526 of the family's 1533-position model. The record is from RNAcentral.